ACGUCGAUCAACACCCUGCUCUGGGUGCGUAACCAGAGAAGGGAUGUUUUUGCAUCCCUUUUCAAAUCAAAAAAAUCCUCAAAAAUCUAUAUGGAUAGAGGAUUCAAUUAUAAUUCCAAAACAUAUAAUGAUUGGAUUAAAACUCUCAUAAAUGGAUGUGUUCUCAAAUCCUUUCAAGUGAAGUCUGAUCACCAUGUGUGCAGGCAUG
RNAcentral lists this long non-coding RNA (208 nucleotides) under Elaeis guineensis (African oil palm). RNAcentral's name for it is "long non-coding RNA (EGUI_LNC081642)". The record is from RNAcentral. Lineage: Eukaryota; Viridiplantae; Streptophyta; Magnoliopsida; Arecales; Arecaceae.